RNAcentral lists this transfer RNA (73 nucleotides) under Sorex araneus (European shrew). RNAcentral's name for it is "tRNA-Ile (AAT) (tRNA-Ile-AAT-4-1)". It matches the Rfam family "tRNA". Rfam says of the family: Transfer RNA (tRNA) molecules are approximately 80 nucleotides in length. Their secondary structure includes four short double-helical elements and three loops (D, anti-codon, and T loops). Lineage: Eukaryota; Metazoa; Chordata; Mammalia; Eulipotyphla; Soricidae. The record is from RNAcentral.
GUCCUGUUAGCUCAGUUGGUUAGAUCAUGGUGCUAAUAACGCCAAGGUCACAGGUUCAAUCCUGUAUGGGCCA